Molecule: ribosomal RNA, 582 nt
Filed under: Chitinophaga sp. StRD786
Lineage: Bacteria; Pseudomonadati; Bacteroidota; Chitinophagia; Chitinophagales; Chitinophagaceae
Description: bacterial SSU rRNA
Rfam family: Bacterial small subunit ribosomal RNA
Source: RNAcentral
ACGGGUGCGGAACACGUACGCAACCUUCCUUUAAGCGGGGAAUAGCCCAGAGAAAUUUGGAUUAAUACCCCAUAAGAAUGUGACCUGGCAUCAGGUAGCAUUUAAAGAUUUAUCACUUAGAGAUGGGCGUGCGUCUGAUUAGGUAGUUGGUGAGGUAACGGCUCACCAAGCCGACGAUCAGUAACUGGCGUGAGAGCGCGACCAGUCACACGGGCACUGAGACACGGGCCCGACUCCUACGGGAGGCAGCAGUAAGGAAUAUUGGUCAAUGGACGGAAGUCUGAACCAGCCAUGCCGCGUGGAGGAUGACGGCCCUCUGGGUUGUAAACUUCUUUUAUCUGGGACGAAACACUCUUUAUCUAGGGAGCUUGACGGUACCAGGUGAAUAAGCACCGGCUAACUCCGUGCCAGCAGCCGCGGUAAUACGGAGGGUGCAAGCGUUAUCCGGAUUCACUGGGUUUAAAGGGUGCGUAGGUGGAUAUGUAAGUCCGUGGUGAAAUCUCCAAGCUUAACUUGGAAACUGCCCUGGAUACUAUAUGUCUUGAAUGUUGUGGAGGUUAGCGGAAUAUGUCAUGUAGCGGU